Molecule: ribosomal RNA, 116 nt
Filed under: Bacillus amyloliquefaciens
Lineage: Bacteria; Bacillati; Bacillota; Bacilli; Caryophanales; Bacillaceae
Description: partial 23S ribosomal RNA
Rfam family: Bacterial large subunit ribosomal RNA
Source: RNAcentral
CCAUUCCGCAAGGAAGUAAGAUCCCUGAAAGAUGAUCAGGUUGAUAGGUCUGAGGUGGAAGUGUGGCGACACAUGGAGCUGACAGAUACUAAUCGAUCGAGGACUUAACCUAAUUU